GACGAACGCUGGCGGCGCGCCUAACACAUGCAAGUCGAACGGGGUUAUGUUGGUUGAAGUUUUCGGAUGGAUACCGACAUAACUUAGUGGCGAACGGGUGAGUAACGCGUGAGUAACCUGCCCUGGAGUGGGGGACAACAGUUGGAAACGACUGCUAAUACCGCAUAAGCCCACGAUCUGGCAUCGGAUUGAGGGAAAAGGAUUUAUUCGCUUCAGGAUGGACUCGCGUCCAAUUAGCUAGUUGGUGAGGUAACGGCCCACCAAGGCGACGAUUGGUAGCCGGACUGAGAGGUUGAACGGCCACAUUGGGACUGAGACACGGCCCAGACUCCUACGGGAGGCAGCAGUGGGGGAUAUUGCACAAUGGGGGAAACCCUGAUGCAGCGACGCCGCGUGGAGGAAGAAGGUUUUCGGAUUGUAAACUCCUGUCGUUAGGGACGAUAAUGACGGUACCUAACAAGAAAGCACCGGCUAACUACGUGCCAGCAGCCGCGGUAAAACGUAGGGUGCAAGCGUUGUCCGGAAUUACUGGGUGUAAAGGGAGCGCAGGCGGACCGGCAAGUUGGAAGUGAAAUCUAUGGGCUCAACCCAUAAAUUGCUUUCAAAACUGCUGGCCUUGAGUAGUGCAGAGGUAGGUGGAAUUCCCGGUGUAGCGGUGGAAUGCGUAGAUAUCGGGAGGAACACCAGUGGCGAAGGCGACCUACUGGGCACCAACUGACGCUGAGGCUCGAAAGCAUGGGUAGCAAACAGGAUUAGAUACCCUGGUAGUCC
Molecule: ribosomal RNA, 771 nt
Filed under: uncultured bacterium
Lineage: Bacteria
Description: bacterial SSU rRNA
Rfam family: Bacterial small subunit ribosomal RNA
Source: RNAcentral